This 124-nucleotide small nucleolar RNA is filed under the name Jaculus jaculus (lesser Egyptian jerboa). RNAcentral's name for it is "Small nucleolar RNA SNORA40 (ENSJJAG00000008478.1)". It matches the Rfam family "Small nucleolar RNA SNORA40". From Rfam's summary of the family: The snoRNA ACA 40 belongs to the H/ACA family of snoRNAs and guides the pseudouridylation of 28S rRNA subunit at position U4565. NB This family has a high threshold value to exclude a large number of closely related sequences that do not appear to have conserved H and ACA boxes, and may be pseudogenes. Lineage: Eukaryota; Metazoa; Chordata; Mammalia; Rodentia; Dipodidae. The record is from RNAcentral.
AGUACCUGUAUGCUCUUUGUUGAACUGGUCAACAAAGAUUUAAAGAUAGUGCAAAAAUAAAACCUCUUUUGCAACCCAGAGCUCAUUAUUAAGCAUGAGUUUUAAUAAAUGUAAGAAGAACAAU